CAGGCUGUCUUUAUUAGGAAGUUUAUUGGUUACGUCAAUAUUGGGGUUGUGCAAGUCAAUCAUGUCUGA
This 69-nucleotide transfer RNA is filed under the name Brachyrhynchus hsiaoi. RNAcentral describes it as "tRNA-Val". Lineage: Eukaryota; Metazoa; Arthropoda; Insecta; Hemiptera; Aradidae. The record is from RNAcentral.